This 208-nucleotide non-coding RNA is filed under the name Mariniphaga anaerophila. Lineage: Bacteria; Pseudomonadati; Bacteroidota; Bacteroidia; Marinilabiliales; Prolixibacteraceae. The record is from RNAcentral.
UAAUUUUACCUCGAUUUUGGUGCCGCACUUUCCAUUUUCGGAAAACGGUGAAAAGGGAAUCAGGUGAAAAUCCUGAACAGACCCGCUGCUGUAAGCUCCGCCAAAGUCUUUGAACAAUACUCAAUUCCACUGUUUGUCAGUUGACGAACGGGAAGGGCGUUUCAAAGAUGGAGUAAGUCAGAAGACCUGCCAGAAUAGUUAGUUAGAG